UACGGAGGGGGCUAGCGUUGUUCGGAAUUACUGGGCGUAAAGCGCACGUAGGCGGACUGUUAAGUCGGGGGUGAAAUUCUGGGGCUCAACCUCAGAAUUGCCUCCGAUACUGGCAGUCUCGAGUGCGGGAGAGGUGAGUGGAAUUCCCAGUGUAGAGGUGAAAUUCGUAGAUAUUGGGAAGAACACCAGUGGCGAAGGCGGCUCACUGGCCCGUAACUGACGCUGAGGUGCGAAAGCGUGGGGAGCAAACAGG
This 253-nucleotide ribosomal RNA is filed under the name uncultured bacterium. RNAcentral's name for it is "partial 16S ribosomal RNA". It matches the Rfam family "Bacterial small subunit ribosomal RNA", at positions 524 to 776 of the family's 1533-position model. The record is from RNAcentral.